ACCACAACGGGUGGAGCCUGCGGUUUAAUUGGAUUCAACGCCGGGAAACUCACCGGGACCGACAGCUGAAUGAUAGUCGGGCUGAAGACUCUACUUGAUUAGAUGAGAGGAGGUGCAUGGCCGUCGUCAGUUCGUACUGUGAAGCAUCCUGUUAAGUCAGGCAACGAGCGAGACCCACGCCAACAGUUGCUAGCUCGUCCUCCGGGAUGGAGAGGACACUGUUGGGACCGCCUCUGCUAAAGAGGAGGAAGGAAUGGGCAACGGUAGGUCAGCAUGCCCCGAAUUGUCCGGGCUACACGCGGGCUACAAUGGGUGGGACAAUGGGUAUCGACACCGAAAGGUGAAGGCAAUCUCCUAAACCCAUCCUUAGUUCGGAUUGUGGGCUGCAACUCGCCCACAUGAAGCUGGAAUCCGUAGU
This 418-nucleotide ribosomal RNA is filed under the name uncultured Methanomicrobiales archaeon. RNAcentral's name for it is "bacterial SSU rRNA". It matches the Rfam family "Archaeal small subunit ribosomal RNA", at positions 878 to 1295 of the family's 1478-position model. Lineage: Archaea; Methanobacteriati; Methanobacteriota; Methanomicrobia; Methanomicrobiales. The record is from RNAcentral.